UAGCGGAGGAAAAGAAACUAACCAGGAUUCCCUUAGUAACGGCGAGUGAACAGGGAACAGCCCAGCACCGAAGCCUGUGGUCAUUUGGUCACUAGGCAAUGUGGUGUUAAGGUCUAAUUGCGGGAGUGCUGCUUCUCUCCAAGUCCGACAAUGAGUACGGUAUUUUAAACGCGGCCCAUAGAGGGUGAAAGGCCCGUUGGAGAGAAGAUCAGGCAGGACAGUGCUCCCCUGAACAGACCAUGGAGUCGGGUUGUUUGAGAAUGCAGCCCAAAGCGGGUGGUAAACUCCAUCCAAGGCUAAAUACUAACACGAGUCCGAUAGCGAACAAGUACCGUGAGGGAAAGUUGAAAAGUACUUUGAAGAGAGAGUAAACAGUGCGUGAAGCCGCUCAAAGGUAAACGGGUGGAGUUGAACUGCGUGCUCCGAGGAUUCAGCUGGUGAUUUUAUCAUGAUCUUGGUCAUUUUGAUUGGACGAUGAGGUCUGCGUAGUAGCAGGUUCUUGCUAUCAAGUGAGAAUGCGCGAUUCACUUAUCAGGUGAUGUGCGCCUUGUUUGUUCUCGUGGUCAGUUGCCAGUGCACUUUCUCGGAGCGUUCACUACGACCGGCACUGCUGUCUGGCUGUUGUGGUUAAACCGGUUUGGCAUUGUCCUCGUGACUUUGUUGGAUCGGGACGGCAGGUAGCUCGUUUGCUUGCUUGUGGCUUGCUGCAAGAUUUAGCUUUCGGGUGUAAUCAGCUGACCAUGAUGGUUCUGUACAGUGUGUCGGAGACCGCGGCUUGUGGUGUGUGCGUGUGUGGUCGUCUGUUGGCGUGUUCGAGUUUGGUUGCCAUGUUGCCUGUUCAAGCGGGCCUGGUGAUGGCUCGAAUUCGUUCAAUGGUCGGCUGCGCAUGUGACAUCAAUACAGGGCCAACAGUCUGUGGUGUUGUGGUAGACUAUCCACCCGACCCGUCUUGAAACACGGACCAAGGAGAGUAACAUGUGCGCGAGUCAUUGGGCGUAACGAAACCCAAAGGCGCAGUGAAAGUGAAGGCCUGGCUCGUCUAGGCUUAGGUGAGAUCUCGUCGUUUCUCACAUGGUACUUCCAAGUUACGAACGGCGAGCGCAUCACCGGCCCGUCCCAUGACGUAGACGGGAUCUUAUGAUCCUCGCACCGUCGGGGCGGAGCAUGAGCGUACAUGUUGAGACCCGAAAGAUGGUGAACUAUGCUUGCGCAGGUUGAAGCCAGAGGAAACUCUGGUGGAGGACCGCAGCGAUUCUGACGUGCAAAUCGAUCGUCAAACGUGAGUAUAGGGGCGAAAGACUAAUCGAACCAUCUAGUAGCUGGUUCCCUCCGAAGUUUCCCUCAGGAUAGCA
Molecule: ribosomal RNA, 1352 nt
Filed under: Lasiotocus sp. AJP2967
Lineage: Eukaryota; Metazoa; Platyhelminthes; Trematoda; Plagiorchiida; Monorchiidae
Description: partial large subunit ribosomal RNA
Rfam family: Eukaryotic large subunit ribosomal RNA
Source: RNAcentral